Mustela lutreola (European mink) is the source of this 3582-nucleotide long non-coding RNA. RefSeq lists it as uncharacterized. The record is from RefSeq and is a predicted model, not a curated record. The transcript has 4 exons. Lineage: Eukaryota; Metazoa; Chordata; Mammalia; Carnivora; Mustelidae.
AUGCGAUUCCCUGCUCCUGGCCUGAUCUCUGGAUGCUGCUCUGCUUCCACUGGAGUCCCUGCGGUCACUGGGCACCUCGUUCUCCCAAUGGUGACACGUGGACACUGUGUUCAUGGUCCCGUGCAACAUGUCUUGUGCCCGGCUCCACUGUAGCCACUUGAACCAAAGAGUACAGAGACAGUGUCGGCUCACCUUAGCUUUCUCGAUCCAGGUUUCUGACAUUUCAGAGAUUCCAUGGGGAGUCCUAUAGUUCGUACGCAGUAGUUUCCCCACCAGGGACAUGUGGAAGCUUAUGUACUUUCACUGCAUAUAGCCCCAUCCCCAGCUUCUUUGUGGCUGCUGAAUCCAAGAAUUCAUGGGAAUUCAUUGAAUCCUAAGAAUUCAAUCCUAAGAGCUCCUGUAUCUGUGCUGGUUGGCUUUGCUCGUCCAAGCUACCUUUCUUUUGGUAUUUGGAAUCCUAGUUCCGGUAGUGUCCUUGAAAUGGGUCUUCUGAAUUUGACAUCUUACCCUCUUAGCGUGAGCUGAUCCCUUCUUGCUUGCCUGAUCAGGGGCAUUUCUGAUGCCUUUCUCAUCAGUGGAAUGUUGCAGCCAAAUCGUGUGGUUUGACAUAUUGAGAUUCUGACGGCGAGUGAUGAAGAGAAUAGUUUCCUCAAACUUCAGCACCGAGGGAGUCCUUGGAGGGCUUCUCGCAAAACCGCACUGCCUCCAGUCCUCCUUCCGAGCCUCACCGAAUGAGGAAUGCAGAAUCUGAGUGUGACCCUCUAGCAAGAAAAAGGAACCAAGGCUCCAAAAGAAAUGACUUUGUUGGGGCCACGGAUAAACUGGUGGCAGAGGUCGGCGAGGAACCUAGUGUGAGCGCAGGGUGUGCUCUUGAGCAUGGCGAGGAGGAGGUCUCAUGCCUGCUAGAGAUCCAUGACCUGUUAUCUAUCCUUCUGGGCAAAGAGACAUUUUCUCCAUGGUCCAUCUGAGUCCACGGUGGUACGCAGCCUCUGCUGUUCCGUGGUAAUCUCACGUGUGUCUCUCUCCCUCUUGGGGCAGAUGUCCACAUGCAUCGUGUGUACCACGAGUUCCAAAGUGUUUGGCCUGAAGGUGCUGUGGGUCAACCAGGGCCUCAAAGGGUGGGUUGCUCUGCAUGUGGAAAGCUGUAGCACCUCCUACAUGAGACCUUAGCACCGUGUGCCAAAAGCCAAAACCACAAGCGGCACGUAGCCUCCUCCUUCGAUAGCAGAGGCUGGGUUUUCUUGCAAGGGACCUUGCCUGAUGCCCUCAACGGGCCAUCGCUCACCUGUCAGCCCAGAGCUCCAGACUUUGCUGGGGAGGACCUCGGAAGCAGAACUGCAGAGGGUUCUUUCUGCAUGGCACCUAUGUCCUCCAACGACACGAGCUAGCAAGGGGGAGAGAGAGAAAGAGAGAGGCAGAGCAUCCGUCUGCUUGCCCCUGUUGCAGGCCAAGGGCAAGAGGCGUCAGAUACUGUGUCCCUGUGAGGCCAGCUCUGCGGAUGCUCAGUGCAGAUGCAGUGAGUGAGUGGCUCAUAGUCUUCUUCUGAAGCAAAGAAGCUUCCCCCCGAGAAUCCACUGGUCCAGAGAGUCCCGCUCAACAUGGGCAUCCCACUUAGCGUGGAAAGUCAUCCUUUAUUUGCAUGUUCUCUGAGAACCACCAGGAGAGUACAGAACCAGGAGGGACCUGAGGACGUUCCCUGGGUGGCGGUGACUGCGUGCUCCCCGAGGGCCCAUAGAAAGACAGGAAGACACAUUUGCCUCCUCUGGAGCCUCCGGCUAAAGGAUGAGUGAAGAUACUCUGGAUUCCACAUGGCACACAUCUCUCUUCAGGGCCGAGGUGUGGAAGCUUGGCCCAUGUAGGAGCAUUGGAAUCGGAGGGCCUGAACCAACUGUCCUCAGGCCGCAGGGUUGGGAAAAGUCGAGGUCCGCCUGGUUCCUGGGGAGCCAGCCCCAGAAGCUGUGCUCUUGAGCAAGAUGACGGGCAAUUUCACACCACGAGGAGGUGCCUGGUCUUGGCCCUUCUGGGCAUGGCGUUGCCUUGUCCACGGUCAGUCUGAGGCCACUGCAGUAUGCAGCACUACUGCUUUGCGGUCGCUUCAGGCCCUGUCUCCUCUCCUGUGGGAAGGGAAAGGACAUUGGCCCCGACUGCCUGUAGUGAGACGCAUUGUGAGUGAAGGUCUGGUGGUCAAACAUCUGCCUGCAAGCCUGCGUUCAACCGGGUGUUGAAGGCAGCGCUUCCUCUGCGUGAGCAUCUGGCCAGAGACGGCCAAGGCCAAGCGCCGAAGUUGGGGAAUUGCCCCACUCCCACGUUGUGAAGUGAGGUGACGGACGGUGACGGUCUUGCCGAAGGACCCGGCCAGCAGCGCUUCUGCAGGCGUUCGCUCUUCACUCAGCAAAGUGCCGUCCUGGAGCUGUGGUGCAGCAGGAUGCGGGCGAGACCUUUUGCAGGCAGGUACGUCCCUGUCAGGCAUUUUCCCAAACUCAGGAGGGAAGGAGGAAAGAUACUUUGCCUUUGCGUGGAGCCACGUUUGAGAGGCCUCAGGGCCUUAGCCCACCUCAGGGCCAGCCCAGCAGGAAGUUCAUAGGGGACACAGGGAGUGGUCCUCCAACCUCUGAAAAGGAAGAGGCUCUCCGGGAAAGCCUGUUGUCCCAAGAUGGCUCUGGGUGAUGCCUGCUCCAAGGACACACUGGAGAUGAUCCCUGAUUGACAGCUUCUCUGAGGAUGUAGAGGUGCUCACUCUCGCCCCCCUGAGGAAGCUGUAGGAACUCACCGGUGUGGCAGUUUCUAUGGCACCCCCAACCCCCAGCACCAUUUAGGCUCCCAGGAUUGGCUGCUCCAGAGGUGCAGAAGAUGUCCUGUCAAAAGAGGAUCCUCUUCGGGGUCACCGCAUCCUAAAGGUGAUUCCCUGCUCCUGGCCUGAUUUCUGGAUGCUGCUCUGCUUCAAUUGGAGUCUCUGUGGUCACUGGGCACCUCGUUCUCCUAAUGGUGACAUGUGGACAGUGUGUUCAUGGUCCUGUGCAGCGUGUCGCAUGCCUGGCUUUGCUAUAGAUGCUUGAACCAAUGAGUUCACCGUUAUUGUCCACUCUCCUUUUCUUUUGGGAUCCAUAAUCUUUUAUUUUAUGCAUUUGUAAUUCUAAUUUUAAUGCGUUGAAAUAUCUCCACAUCUUGACUAUAUUUGGAGAAAAUGCUUAUGGAGUUAAUUUUUUGGAAGUGAUAUCAUAUCCAUGGGGCCUUAAUAUGAUAGGAAUUUUUUUCCCUGAAAAAGGAAUUUUUGAGGUGUACCUGUUUGGCCCACUGGCCAGCUCAUGUAACUCUUUAUCUGGUGUAUGAGUUAGUGCCCUAUUGGGCAUAGAGUAAUUAAAUAUAAGUAAAUAAAUAUUAUUUUAAAAAGAAGUGGAAGAGACACCAGAGAUCUCUGUGCAUGUAUAUACAGAAGAAACCUAUUAUGUGCACAUAUGGGGAAGAAAGCAUUCUCCAUGCCAGCAAGAAGGGCUUGUCUAAAUACUGACCCUACUGGUUCUUUGAUUUUGGACAUAUAGCUGCAUAAUUGUAAGAAAAUAAAUUUCUGUUUAUACGAUCUUA